CCUACGGGGGGCAGCAGUAAGGAAUAUUGGUCAAUGGAGGAAACUCUGAACCAGCCAUCCCGCGUGAAGGAUGAAGGGGCUCUGCCUUGUAAACUUCUUUUGUCUGGGGCGAAAAAGCUCGAUUUAUCGAGAACUGACGGUACCAGAAGAAUAAGCACCGGCUAACUCCGUGCCAGCAGCCGCGGUAAUACGGAGGGUGCGAGCGUUACCGGGAAUUACGGGGGCGUAAGGGUGCUAUUACGGAGGUGGUGAAAUCUUGUCGCUUAACGAUAAAAUUGCCAAUGAUACUGGUACUCUUGAAUUGGGUUGAGGUUGGCGGAAUGUGACAUGUAGCGGUGAAAUGCAUAGAUAUGUCAUGGAACACCAAUUGCGAAGGCAGCUAACUGGGCCUUGAUUGACGCUGAGGCACGAAAGCGUGGGUAGCGAACAGGAUUAGAUACCCGAGUAGUC
RNAcentral lists this ribosomal RNA (450 nucleotides) under uncultured bacterium. RNAcentral describes it as "partial 16S ribosomal RNA". It matches the Rfam family "Bacterial small subunit ribosomal RNA", at positions 338 to 795 of the family's 1533-position model. The record is from RNAcentral.